RNAcentral lists this small RNA (1412 nucleotides) under Pan troglodytes (chimpanzee). RNAcentral's name for it is "processed transcript". The record is from RNAcentral. Lineage: Eukaryota; Metazoa; Chordata; Mammalia; Primates; Hominidae.
GCGGCUUGGAGCGGUUGAUGACGAACAUCUCGUGGCCGCGCUCGUCGCGGAGCUCCUCUAGCUGUGCGAACGUACAGGGGCCGUCCAAGUAGUCGUUGACGAACACCGCGCCCUCCCCCGGAGGCCCCCGCGCCUUUUUUCGCCUGCGGCGCCGGCGACAGAUCAUGGCGACCAGGAGCAGCGCCGUGAGCGCCAGCAGCGCGAUGGCCGCCGCAACGGCCGUCUGCGUGGCCAGGCCCAGGGCGCGGAAGGCCAUGCUGCCCGCCUCGGGCCGGGGCUCGCUGCCGGCGGGGCGGGCGGCCGGAGGCGGCGGUUGCGCGGGCUGCUGCGGUUGCUGCCGGGACGCGUUGACCAGGAGCCGGAAGGGCACGCGGGCAGCGCCGCCGGCGUUGGAGGCCUCGCACUCGUACUUACCGGCGUGCGCCAGCGUGAUGUUGCUGAGGAAGAGCAUGCCGCUGCCCGUGUCGGAUGCCGAGUGUCCGCCCAGGCCCAGCAACCCGCCUUCUAGCUGGGCCUGGGCUCGCGGCCGGCCCUCGCGAGGCUGGGGCACCUUUCUCCAGGUCACCAAUGGCUGCGGGUAGCCGGAGGCUUGGCAGGCAACCCGCAGGUCCUCACCCAGGUUGGCUGUGAGCUCCAGCGGCUGCACGUGGACAGAGGGCGGAAUGCAGAUGAGGCUGCUGUGGGAUACGUCCAGGAGACUCUGGAGCGCCAGGCGCGGGGGCUCUGCACACAUGAUCUUCCUGUCCCUGGAGAUCACUUCUCCGUCGGUCUCUGAGAAAGCACCUGCUCCUUAAGUCUUCCUGCAACAAGUGCCACUGUUUUUAGGAACCUGGGCGUCCACAUAGACAUCUCACCAGCACUGAAACCUCACAAGUCCUCUCAGCCUUGUCUUUGGAUGCCCUCUCUUGGGAAUGUCCCCAGUCCUGGUCAGCUGUCUCUCUCCUUUGCAAUUUUGUCUGCCUCCCCUCUGACAGCCUAAAAGUGUGCAGAACCCUCAAUUCUGUUAAGUCACCCUGUGGAGUUCCUGUCUUCUGUUUUCCCCAGGCAGGGUGCCUGAGCUGUAUCCCCCAGCACACCCACUCCCGCAGCCCUCCACUGUGGCUGCAGGUGGUGGUGCAGCCUUCCAGACUGCUGCCCAGUUGCCUGAUGUCAGAGCCCCUCCACACAUGAGCCUGCUCCCUACUGCCAACACCGUGGCCCAGACAGAGACGCUUUCCGAGGAAGAGGUGAAGCUCCUGCAGUCGCUGAAGUAAGGACAGCAGAUCGUGAGGAAAAAGGGCGCCGAGGUUGGGGGCAUGUCUCUCUUCUUACCAAGCUAGACUGGGUUGCCUUUUCUAACUAUUCCAGCCCUACAGGGCGAGGGGCCAUAAUGGAGUAUCCCGCCCCUUUAGACCCCAGGCGCUCACCGGCAG